CUUCCUCUCUUUUUUUCAUGGUUUCUCUUCCUCUCUAUCGAUCUCUUAGAAGAAAUAGGGUUCUUCUCAACUUCUUCUUUUUUUGGCUGUUCUCCGUUUUUUUUCUUCUCAAAAGCAUGAACUGAGAAAUUGUUCAUAUCAAUUAAGAAGAAAUCUGGAAAAGUAAAUGGUACAGGAAAGGAAUUACUGAGGUUGUGAAUUUGAUUUUGGUUAGGGUUCUUAUUAAUUGAAGAACGACGAAUCAGUAAGAAAUAAAAUUAGGGUUUCUGGUGUUAGUAUUGAUUUUGUACAAAAUCGAAGGAGAAGAUGGUGGAUAUGUAUUAACUCGGGUUAUAAAGGCUAUGGUGAAUCAGAGAUACGAAGUCAGGGUUCUGAAAUUGAUUUAAGGUUCGAUUUAGUGAUAGAUAAGAAGAAAUCAAAGACUGGGUUUGGUGGUCUGAGAUGUGAAUCGAUGUUUUGAGACUGGAUUUCAAGGUGAAGAGAUGGUAGUUUUUCUGUUGAUCUCUCUAUGGAAAACAUGAUGAGGACAAUACAGGGUUGGUGGUGAAUCUGUGUGGUCUGAGAUCAAGAUAAGAUAGUGAUUGAAUGGUGUAGUGAAAGGGUAGCUGUUGAUUUUAGAUGAAAGGGUUUGAGUAUGAAGAUGAAGUGAUGUUGGUAUGUAGCUGGAUUGAGUAUGUGUGCAGAUUUCUUGCUGGAAAAAUGGUUGUUAUGUGGUAGCUGCAAUGGAAUAGAAGAUAGAGCCAAUAGUGCUGCAGGAUGAGUCAGUGUUGGUAGUUGCUGUGCAGGAAAGAGGAUUCAAGGAACACACAUUGAUUGAAUCAAAGCCUGAUCAUUUCUUGGAUGAUCUCUGAUUAAAUUAUCCAUGGCCUAAACACAAACGGUACAGUCUCUUCACGUCAUCCCCUAUCAAAUUGCUCGACCAAACUCUUGACUUGUAUUUGACAAUUUUCACACACAACUCUAAUAAUGGGCAAAUGCACAUAAUGGUUCUCUGCCUUCAACCAAAGAGGAGAAAGAGAGCUUAAGGCAACUGCUGGUGGUGGUGGAUGUGGUAUACAUCUCGCAAAAGAACCCGAGGAGUUUGUCGACACUGACAAGGCUAUUGAAACUUCCCACUGUGCUCUAUUCUUUACCCAGUUCUCGCAUGGUUGGGCUCGUCCCUUUGUUGCUAAAGUCAAAUGCUGCACAGAGUUUGAUCGAAGAUUACACAGCUUGCUUAGAGUUAGGUUCGGAAGAGCCUCAGACCAUAGAAGACACCAAAGAUGACAUAGGAGUUCUUAUCAUUCAGCUGCUCCUCGAAAAUAUCAACCGCCCACCCCCAAAUAUCACACAUUCGCUUCUCAAGUUUCAUGUGGAUGUGUCAGUAGAGCGGACAGUUCUACAACCAAAGUUUCAUUACAGUUGCUUGAAGGUGAUUCUUGAUAUUCUCGAAUACCUCUCCAAGCCAUAAGUUAAAGCUUUGCUGCAUGAAUUUGUAUUUAAGAUCUGGUGGUACUGCUUUUUAGUAUUAUGGGUUAGGCAUGGCAAGGGAAUGGACUCUGCGGGCUGGCCAAAGUGUGGUUUCAGCUAAAUAUUUUAUGACCUUUGUGCACUGCCUCAUCUUUGUCAUGACCCAUGUGCAUCACAAGUGGAGAACAAAGCAGCUUCAAGUUUUGUAAGUUCCAUAUAUUCAAGUUUUGUAGGAAGUUAGUAAGUUUAUGUAUUCCCUUGGAAAUUUGUUAGUAAGUUUCUGUAUUCCUUUGGAAAUUUGACAAUUAGCAAGAAAAAAAAUUGGUACUUAGAGAAAUUUCAGUUCUUUCGUUAUAUGUGAAUCUCAUAUGAAUUUAAGGAAUGUGAUAUGAAUAGUUUGAAGAAAUUAUUGUUGAGUGUGGAUGAUGAAUGUAUUGAAAGGUGUAUCAAGGGUAUUAAAUUUAGA
This is a long non-coding RNA of Papaver somniferum (opium poppy), 1915 nucleotides long. RefSeq lists it as uncharacterized. The record is from RefSeq and is a predicted model, not a curated record. The transcript is spliced from 6 exons. Lineage: Eukaryota; Viridiplantae; Streptophyta; Magnoliopsida; Ranunculales; Papaveraceae.